Molecule: RNA transcript, 2191 nt
Organism: Triticum dicoccoides
Lineage: Eukaryota; Viridiplantae; Streptophyta; Magnoliopsida; Poales; Poaceae
Exons: 8
Source: RefSeq, a predicted model, not a curated record
GCGCCGCCGCGGUUGCCUGCGCCGCCGCACGCUUCCCGCUACCCACCGCCGGAUCCCGCCUCCCGCCGUCCGCGUCGCGUCCGCAACUGCGUGCCGUCGCUGCCUGUGCUCUGCCUCGCCGCCUCCUCGACUCCUUGAGCCGGAGCUCGCUUCCGCCGGUGGCCAGCAGCAGCACCACCAGCAGGUCCCGCGUCGUCCCGCGACCCUUCUUCCUCAGCACUGCCCGAGCUCGCGCCCGACCGAGGCCAGCCAACCCCGCCACUAGAGGCCACCGUCGCCACCGCAGAUGAGCGCCGCCCCACUCCUUUCUCACCUCUCCCUCCGGUUCCCCCUGCUCAUCUCCCUCCCUGGUUUCUUCUCUACAGGAGCGCCAUGGCCGCUGAUCCCAUGCCCGAGGCCUCCUCAUCGCCGUCGUCGUCUGCUUCGUCUCCCGCCCCUGCGUGCCUGGACUCCACCUCUCGCACCUCCGCCCGUGCCCAACCUCUGCUCGCCUCCUCGGCCUUGCUGUCGUUGCUCUGUUCGUCGAGAACGAGCGAGCGGGAUGCCCGUUCCGCCUCCGUGUCCUUGUCAAACUCCUGCUCCCGUGUCCUUCUCAAACAAAGAAACUGUACGGACCCGGAUUUGUAGUUCGAUGCUAUAUAUUGAAUUGUUCUCCGCCGGAAUCCAGAACCAGGCCAGCGCCACCAGCGAGCAGUGCACCUUGAAUUGUUCUCUGCCGGAAUCGUGAAUCAGGCCAGCGCCACCAGCGAGCAUUGCACCGUCGCUUGGGGAUUUGCCAGUCGUAACACCAUGCUCAGCAUCAUGUCGCCUUUGUGUGCGCCGGAGGAACAGGCACCGAGUUCGCCUUUGAGUACGCCGGACGAACCGGCACCAAGUUCGCCGGAAUUCUUGGUCCAGAGAAGCACUAUGAGUCCAACGGUGGCUACAACAGAGAUCCCAAAGACUGAUAGAACUCAGGUGGAGGCCAAGGAGAUUCGGCUCUCGAACAUGCCACCAGUAACACUUGAUGAUAGCAACAUGCACAUUAAAACAAAUGACAUCACUGAAAUGAACAUUCGAGAGGAUUUCGAUAACCGGCCUUCAAAAAAAGCAAAAAUUUCUGAAUCAGGUGUUUUGGAGACAUCACCAAUGUCACCAACUAUGUCAGCAUCUAAUCAAGUUUCUGAAUGUUUUGAAUCGAUUGUGCCUGAAUCAGAUAAUCAGAUAGAUCAUGAACCAUUGCAAUCACCUCCAUCACCGUCUAGCUCGACAUUAACUCCUGUUUUAAUAUUACAUGAUGUCAAGGGACCAGAUCCAAAUAAAGGGAUCAAAGUUGAUGAGACAUAUGAUUAUCUCCCACAAGACUAUACAUUGACCGAUCAUGAUCUAUGUGCUCAUAUAGCAAUAGAAUCAUCUUUGAGAAAACAGUUGCUCGUUCAGAUAGAUGGAAGUUGUGUCUUGCAAAAUCAAUUGAUGUGCCUGCUAAAUGAAAAGGAGUGGGUAAAUGAUGAUGUGAUCAAUGCAUAUAUAUGUUGUAUGAAGGACCAAAUACAUGUCCAGAAUGAUAAUAAAUUAAAGUAUAUUUUGAGAGUCCAUUUGUUACCUCACUAUUUAAACGAGAUGGCAAACUUGGAAUACAAAAAGAUAGUGCCUUCAUGACAGAGACCGUCAUUGAAUAUAUGCAACAUGACAUGAUUAAACUUCCAAUAAAUGCCAACAACACACAUUGGUAUCUAGCUGUCGUGAAUACAAAAAAACAUGAGGUUCAAGUACUGGACUCAUUGUGCUGGAACUCUGACCGUGAUGAUCUCGCUCAUACGCUACGAGGAGUACAAUUUCAUUUGGACCUUCUUAAGAGUCAAAACUUGGUAAAAGACAAUUGGAAAGACAUUGAUCUCACCGAAUGGAAGAUCACGGAACAAUUACAAAAGGCAAUUCAAAAAGACAGUUAUUCAUGUGGUUUGUUUGAGGAGGUCGCUGGAGGGAGUCGCGGUUGAGCUCGCGAGAGCGCAUCUUGGGAGGUUGGUUCGGGGUAAUUGUGGCCUUUUCGUCUGUGGCCUUUUUGUCUGUACGUCCUACCAAAGAGAAGAUGACAAUAACACCAUCUCAAAAUAGACUUUUAGACAACAAUGACUGCGCGCUACAUAUGGUAUGUUUAUUUUUAGAGAUAUGGUAGAGAGUCUCUAAUGAAUAUAUUAAAAUUUCAUAAUCA